RNAcentral lists this ribosomal RNA (241 nucleotides) under uncultured bacterium. Its description in RNAcentral is "partial 16S ribosomal RNA". It matches the Rfam family "Bacterial small subunit ribosomal RNA", at positions 524 to 765 of the family's 1533-position model. The record is from RNAcentral.
UACGGGGGGGCAAGCGUUGUUCGGAAUUACUGGGCGUAAAGGGCUCGUAGGCGGCCAACUAAGUCAGACGUGAAAUCCCUCGGCUUAACCGGGGAACUGCGUCUGAUACUGGAUGGCUUGAGUUCGGGAGAGGGAUGCGGAAUUCCAGGUGUAGCGGUGAAAUGCGUAGAUAUCUGGAGGAACACCGGUGGCGAAGGCGGCAUCCUGGACCGACACUGGACGUGAGGAGCGAAAGCCAGGG